ACAGUUGACAUUCAAUAUUACUUUAUAUUGGUUUCAGGGGUACAGCAUAGUGGUUAAACAAUCAUGUAAUUUACAGAGUGAUUCCCCUGAUAUUUGUGGUACCCACCUGGCACCAUACAUAGUUGUUAUUAUAAUAUUACUGACUACAUUCCCUA
Myotis brandtii (Brandt's bat) is the source of this 155-nucleotide long non-coding RNA. RefSeq lists it as uncharacterized. The record is from RefSeq and is a predicted model, not a curated record. NCBI's taxonomy places the organism in Eukaryota, Metazoa, Chordata, Mammalia, Chiroptera, Vespertilionidae. The transcript is spliced from 2 exons.